UACGUAGGGUGCGAGCGUUGUCCGGAAUUAUUGGGCGUAAGGGGCUCGUAGGCGGUUUGUCGCGUCGGGAGUGAAAACGCCGUGCUUAACACGGCGCUUGCUUUCGAUACGGGCAGACUAGAGGUAUGCAGGGGAGAACGGAAUUCCUGGUGUAGCGGUGAAAUGCGCAGAUAUCAGGAGGAACACCGGUGGCGAAGGCGGUUCUCUGGGCAUUACCUGACGCUGAGGCGCGAAAGCGUGGGUAGCAAACAGG
RNAcentral lists this ribosomal RNA (253 nucleotides) under uncultured bacterium. RNAcentral describes it as "partial 16S ribosomal RNA". It matches the Rfam family "Bacterial small subunit ribosomal RNA", at positions 524 to 776 of the family's 1533-position model. The record is from RNAcentral.